This 395-nucleotide ribosomal RNA is filed under the name uncultured bacterium. Its description in RNAcentral is "partial 16S ribosomal RNA". It matches the Rfam family "Bacterial small subunit ribosomal RNA", at positions 523 to 918 of the family's 1533-position model. The record is from RNAcentral.
AUACGUAGGGUGCAAGCGUUAAUCGGAAUUACUGGGCGUAAAGCGUGCGCAGGCGGUUAUGUAAGACAGAGGUGAAAUCCCCGGGCUCAACCUGGGAACUGCCUUUGUGACUGCAUAGCUAGGGUACGGUAGAGGGGGAUGGAAUUCCGCGUGUAGCAGUGAAAUGCGUAGAUAUGCGGAGGAACACCGAUGGCGAAGGCAAUCCCCUGGACCUGUACUGACGCUCAUGCACGAAAGCGUGGGGAGCAAACAGGAUUAGAUACCCUGGUAGUCCACGCCCUAAACGAUGUCAACUGGUUGUUGGGUCUUCACUGACUCAGUAACGAAGCUAACGCGUGAAGUUGACCGCCUGGGGAGUACGGCCGCAAGGUUGAAACUCAAAUGAAUUGACGGGG